This 461-nucleotide ribosomal RNA is filed under the name uncultured bacterium. RNAcentral describes it as "bacterial SSU rRNA". It matches the Rfam family "Bacterial small subunit ribosomal RNA", at positions 29 to 484 of the family's 1533-position model. The record is from RNAcentral.
AACGAACGCUGGCGGCGCGCCUAAUACAUGCAAGUCGAGCGAGAAGACGUAGCAAUACGUUUGUAAAGCGGCGAACGGGUGAGGAAUACAUGGGUAACCUACCCUCGAGUGGGGAAUAGCUAGCCGAAAGGUUAGCUAAUACCGCGUACGCUCCUUGGACUUCGGUUCAGGGAGGAAAGCGAUACCGUGGGUAUCGCGCUCUUGGAUGGGCUCAUGUCCUAUCAGCUUGUUGGGAGGUAACGGCUCACCAAGGCUUCGACGGGUAGCUGGUCUGAGAGGACGAUCAGCCACACUGGCACUGCGACACGGGCCAGACUCCUACGGGAGGCAGCAGUAAGGAAUAUUGCGCAAUGGGCGAAAGCCUGACGCAGCGACGCCGCGUGGGGGAUGAAGGUCCUCGGAUUGUAAACCCCUUUCGGGAGGGAAGAUGGAACGAGCAAUCGUUCGGACGGUACCUCCAG